RNAcentral lists this ribosomal RNA (497 nucleotides) under uncultured bacterium. Its description in RNAcentral is "partial 16S ribosomal RNA". It matches the Rfam family "Bacterial small subunit ribosomal RNA", at positions 28 to 507 of the family's 1533-position model. The record is from RNAcentral.
GAUGAACGCUGGCGGCGUGCCUAAUACAUGCAAGUCGAGCGAACAGACGAGGAGCUUGCUCCUCUGACGUUAGCGGCGGACGGGUGAGUAACACGUGGAUAACCUACCUAUAAGACUGGGAUAACUUCGGGAAACCGGGGCUAAUACCGGAUAAUAUAUUGAACCGCAUGGUUCAAUAGUGAAAGACGGUUUUGCUGUCACUUAUAGAUGGAUCCGCGCCGCAUUAGCUAGUUGGUAAGGUAACGGCUUACCAAGGCAACGAUGCGUAGCCGACCUGAGAGGGUGAUCGGCCACACUUGAACUGAGACACGGUCCAGACUCCUACGGGAGGCAGCAGUAGGGAAUCUUCCGCAAUGGGCGAAAGCUUGACGGAGCAACGCCGCGUGAGGGAUGAAGGUCUUCGGAUCGUAAAACUCUGUUAUUAGGGAAGAACAAAUGUGUAAGUAACUAUGCACGUCUUGACGGUACCUAAUCAGAAAGCCACGGCUAACUACGUG